Molecule: long non-coding RNA, 2975 nt
Organism: Pongo pygmaeus (Bornean orangutan)
Lineage: Eukaryota; Metazoa; Chordata; Mammalia; Primates; Hominidae
Exons: 4
Source: RefSeq, a predicted model, not a curated record
AUUAUAAAGUAUGUCAAUGACUAACAAGUUACAAUAUUAUGAAUGGAUAUUGCUCUAAAAUUUCUUAAAGGCCUAUUUGCAUAUACAUACAUGUGUAUAUACAAAUAGGCCAUUAUGAAAUUUUGCAGUCAUGUGUUUUUAUGUCUUUAUUCACAACUGAUGUAUACAGAAAGACAUUUAACCCCGCUUUGCUGAAGUAGCUUUAAUUUUAUGUGAUCCUUUAAAAAUAUAUUUUAGAAAAAGCCAAUUUACUAUUUAUACAUAUUUCUCAACAUUACUAUUUUUACAAACCCAACAUAAAAUGCCAGCAACUGUUAAAAAAACUCAAACUGAUACAGCUAUAAAAGACAAAAUUUUAAAACAUUUAAAAAGAUGUCAAAAUAUAAUGUCCUUGUAUUUAUCUAGUACCCCUGGAGCUAGGUGUGGGGAUGGACUAUACAUUCUAAUAGGUUUAUUUUUUUUUUUAAAGACUACUAAGAGUUUUAUCAUUCUGAUAUGAAACAAACAAAAUCACUGUGGAUAAACUUUUUUAAAAAAUGUAUAUUUCCUGAGUUUUUAUUCAGAUCAUAGGAAUUAUAAAUUUUUUAAUAAUCCAGGAUAAUUAUCAUAGACAGCAUACUUUUUUUUUCCCCUUUUAUGCUUCAAAGUCAAGAAGUACAGCUAUCACUUACACUGUCAUAUCUGUCUACGAAUUCCUCCUCCUUUCCUCCAUCUUCCUGACCCACACUUUUUAGUGCUUUCUAUUUCUAGUCUGCUUCAUCAACCAAACUUAUUCUGAACUGGAGAUUAAAUAAAAGUGAUAAGAUAGAGUGAGAGCUAAUCAGUAAAUAGAUGACUUCAGUGCUGGGGAUUUAAGGUGAUUUUAUCCUUUGGCAUAAUAACGUUUCACCUUCUAACCUAGGGAUACGAGUGGUUAGCGAGUAUCUCACUGAUCGUUAUCUUAAAUUUGGCAGCCUGUAUCUCAGCUUGUAGCCUAACUGUGCCUCUCAACUGAAUGAAUUUUAAUCCAAUCAAUCUAAUUCAAUAUAGCUAAUAUGUUCUAUGUAUAUACUUUUCACUCAGGUUCCAUGGAGACCCAAGCUUGGCUCUGCCUUUCUGUAAGAUAUUUUAAGGGAAAUGGCCUAGAUUAUAUGUACACUUUUAUGUAUGUCUACAGUCACCAUAAGUUUUGUGACUAUGAGAAUGCCACUAGCUGAAGCCACUUUCUUUGAAUCUGGGACAAAAUAAGGAAGAAUAAGGAUUAAAAAUCAGCUUGCUUAAGAUUUCUUCAGAAGAAAUCUGUCUUUUCCCUCCCUAAAGCAUACCAUUUUUCUUUGAGGCUUUCUAGGUGUGCUCCUAACAAACCAUCAACAUGAUACUUUUCACAUCAUUCUUUCAACAAACAUUUAAUGAAUGCCUACUAUGUAACACACAUUGUGCUAGCUGCUGGGGAUACGGCAGUGAACACAACAGAAAAGGCCCCUACCCUCAGGGAGCUUACAUUCUCCUCCCUAAACAUGCUGUCCUGAAGUCAGUUAUAGCUGCAAAUUUUCCUCAGGAAUGUGUUUCUCACAGUUACUGACCACCAAGAUAAUGUCAAACAAUUUUAGAGCCGGAAGGGAUCUUAAAGAUCACCUAGUUCAAUGUUCCCAUUUUACAGACAGGUAAGGAACCUGAGCUUCAUGUAAGUUAACUGACUUCUCCAUGGCAACACAAAGAACUAGGACUAGAAUUUAGAUCUCUUAGCUCCUAAUGCUCUUUAAUAGCAGCACGACAGGAGCCCAACAGAACUCUCGAUUAGCACCCCUGUGAGUGCCUACUAAUUUCAACACCUCUAAUGUAUUUUCCCCCUGCUUUCUUUUUCCCUUUUGAAUACAUUUCCCUCAACCUUUUUUCUAAAUCUCCACGUCUUGCUCUCUUUCAUUUUCUUUCUCUCUCAUCUUCAUACCUAUCAGUUUUCUUUCUUCUUGUUUUACUUUUCCUUUACUUUUCACCCUCUCUACAAAUUCACCACCAUAAACAUACACUUUCCAAAAAUUAGUGCCCUUUUGGCCCCCUUUUAACAAUCGUUAAGCCCUACAAAAGGCUCAUUGAGAUUUGACUCCUUCAAGUCUCCACAUACAUAUUAUUCUAUGCUGUAUCAUAAAAAUUUAUAAUUUCAGGAAUAUUUUAGAGAUUGGAAGUUAUCUGACCAGCAAAAAAACAAAUUUGGAGAAGAAAACAAGAAUGGUUUUGUGAAUCAAACCAUUCUGUUACUUCUGUGCCAACCAACUGGAUCAGAAUGGUGGCCAACAUUUGUGAGUAUGUGUGGAAAAGCAGUAAGGAGCAAAUAAAAAGCCGACUGGAGGAGGAAGGUCCUUAUAUUGUGAACAAUGCUUUCCCCACCACAUACUUACCUGUGCAACUUCUUUCAACAUUUGCUACUCUGGGGAUUGGAAAGCUCAGAGCUGGAGGCUGAAGUGAAGAAGGAAAGGUUGGAGGGUGAGCCAUGGCACCAGCCCCACACUAGGAGCUCCCCUGAGAUAUUACAGCAGGGUUGACGCCAUAGCUCUGAAGUUCAACUCCAGCAAACAGUAAGAAAGGAGUCCAACCAGAACAUGAUAAACGAUGGGAUUCUUCUGCUCUUUGAAAAAUAAGGAAAUCAUGCUAUAAAGAUCUGAAUGUCCAGUUUCAACAUUAUGACUCCCUGUUCACCUCUUCAUUAUUGGCCAAACCCAGAUUCAUCUUUCAGACUAAUUCAAAGUACUAAGUUAAAAAAAAAAAAAAAAAAAAAAGCAGUGCUCAGUACAAACUUGCACACUUUUCCAGAAAAUGCAAAGACAGAGCUUACCUGGCCAUCAUGAAAACAUGUAAGACAGUGUGUUCAAAUACUUUGUGCCUAUCCACUCCUUGUACACUCUCUUGCUCUCUCGAGUACUCAACAUUAAAUCUAAGGCUCUCAUACACAUUAACACCAUCAACAAGCAGAAUUAAAGUUGUACUAUAUGGAUGUACUU